RNAcentral lists this small RNA (749 nucleotides) under Pan troglodytes (chimpanzee). RNAcentral's name for it is "processed transcript". The record is from RNAcentral. Lineage: Eukaryota; Metazoa; Chordata; Mammalia; Primates; Hominidae.
GCAUUUCCGCACAGAGUUUGCAGACUGGUUGCAGGGACAGACAGCAGGCAGGUAAACCACUGGCUAAGUGGUUUUGGAUAGUGGUGAAAUGUUGUGAAGGAAACAAGCUGGCAGGAGAAUGACUGCAUAGGCUCAUUCAGUGGGGUGGCCAGGGAAGCCCUGUGGAAGAAGGACAUUCUGCCAGGGACUUGAAUGCCACGGAGGAGCCAGGCCACGAAGAUUGUGUCAGGGCAUAGGUUCCUGGGACACGGGGCAGCACGCCUGAAGGCCCCGGGUUGGCAUGUUUGAGAAGUGGAAGGUGGUGAGGGUUGAGAGGUCACCGGGGCUACGUGAUCAACAAAUACAAGCGCAGACGAUUUCAGAAAACCAAGAACCUGCUGACAGGAGAGACAGAAGCGGACCCAGAAAUGAUCAAGAGGGCUGAGGACUAUGGGCCUGUGGAGGUGAUCUCCCAUUGGCACCCCAACAUCACCAUCAACAUCGUGGACGACCACACGCCGUGGGUGAAGGGCAGUGUGCCCCCUCCCCUGGAUCAAUAUGUGAAGUUCGACGCCGUGAGCGGUGACUACUAUCCCAUCAUCUACUUCAAUGACUACUGGAACCUGCAGAAGGACUACUACCCCAUCAACGAGAGCCUGGCCAGCCUGCCGCUCCGCGUCUCCUUCUGCCCGCUCUCGCUUUGGCGCUGGCAGCUCUAUGCUGCCCAGAGCACCAAGUCGCCCUGGAACUUCCUGGGCGAUGAGUUGUAC